This 763-nucleotide long non-coding RNA is filed under the name Piliocolobus tephrosceles (Ugandan red Colobus). RNAcentral's name for it is "lncRNA (ENSPTEG00000019303.1)". The record is from RNAcentral. Lineage: Eukaryota; Metazoa; Chordata; Mammalia; Primates; Cercopithecidae.
CAUUAGAGACCUUAUAAACCAGGCCUCUCACCUUUAUGAAAGGGCUACUAAGGGUUGGCUCUGCUGGGGUGUCUCCUGCUCUUCACUCUCAGCUCUUCCCUUUAAUGGGAUCCCUGGCCUCUGUCUUCCUUCUCCUUUUGGGGCCUUGCUUUCUCAAUCUUUUCAGUUGAUUUCCUACCACUGAGAAACCAUCAGACUUCAAAUAGUCUUUUGAUGGGGAUAUCAACCUCUUUCUUUCCCUCCAGGACAACCAAGUCCCUGCAUAUCUCCUCUGGACACCACAGGUUAAACCUUCCAAGAGAUAGCAACAAUUGUCAAAACCUCCUCACCGUGAUAGCAAGCAAGGAGGAAGGACCCUUAAGACCUUCGAUGCUCCCUUUUUUCAGCAGCAGAAAUGAGAUGAUGAGAAUAUAAGUGCUUUAGAGUCAUGAAAUGUUGCCAAUGGGUGAAAAAAGAAAACGAAAAAUAAUUUUGUAACCGUUAAGCAUGAUGAAAAUGUAAAUGUCAGCUUUUACCAGCAAAAUCAGGUAAUAAGUCAUUUUACAAAACGACAGUGAAAGAGUAUACAAAUGAAGAUGUAGUGCCAGAGAAUAUUUUUGAGGUAAGUGGUAUUUAUUUUUAGUAUUUCUAGAUAACUUGAAAAAUUGUUUAUUUUAAACUUAAUGUAGUAGUUCCAAGGUAGACUUGGUUUCCUUGUAAGAUAUUGUUUUGCCAAGUCAUGUUAGACAUAAUAAAAGAUGUAAAAUCAUUCUGUCGAGAUACA